GAUGAACGCUGGCGGCGUGCCUAAUACAUGCAAGUCGAGCGAACAGACGAGGAGCUUGCUCCUCUGACGUUAGCGGCGGACGGGCGAGUAACACGUGGAUAACCUACCUAUAAGACUGGGAUAACUUCGGGAAACCGGAGCUAAUACCGGAUAAUAUAUUGAACCGCAUGGUUCAAUAGUGAAAGACGGUUUUGCUGUCACUUAUAGAUGGAUCCGCGCCGCAUUAGCUAGUUGGUAAGGUAACGGCUUACCAAGGCAACGAUGCGUAGCCGACCUGAGAGGGUGAUCGGCCACACUGGAACUGAGACACGGUCCAGACUCCUACGGGAGGCAGCAGUAGGGAAUCUUCCGCAAUGGGCGAAAGCCUGACGGAGCAACGCCGCGUGAGUGAUGAAGGUCUUCGGAUCGUAAAACUCUGUUAUUAGGGAAGAACAAAUGUGUAAGUAACUAUGCACGUCUUGACGGUACCUAAUCAGAAAGCCACGGCUAACCACGUG
Molecule: ribosomal RNA, 497 nt
Filed under: uncultured bacterium
Lineage: Bacteria
Description: partial 16S ribosomal RNA
Rfam family: Bacterial small subunit ribosomal RNA
Source: RNAcentral